UUGCUCGCUUCGGCAUCACAUAUAAUAAAAUUGAAUGAUACAGAAAAGAUUAGCAUGGCCCCUGCACAAGGAUGACCCGCAAAUUAAUGAAGUAUUCCAUCUAUUU
Small nuclear RNA from Jaculus jaculus (lesser Egyptian jerboa), 106 nucleotides. NCBI's taxonomy places the organism in Eukaryota, Metazoa, Chordata, Mammalia, Rodentia, Dipodidae. The record is from Ensembl.